AGCCAGGGCUACACAGAGAAACCCUGUCUCGAAAAACAAACAAACAAACAAACAAAACACAAAAGAAGAUAAUUUGGCUUUCCUAAGUAGCAAACCUAGUCUAACAAGUUUUUUGUUUUUUUUUUUUUUAAUUGGCUUUCUGUACUUAACUCUUAAUUUUUAUAUAGUGGUACAAACUAAAAUAUGAAGAUCAAGGAAAUAUCUUUCUGCCAAAAUUUUGUUUUAUGCAUUAAUUUGUCUGAAUACAUAGUAGCACUUAUCUGUAGGUGGUCCUGAUGUUACAAAGGAAUUCCAUUCUUUGUUGGAUCAGUUCCAUUGCCCUCCUAGGUGCUGAAGGGGAGAAAGUCCUCUGAAAGCUAACCCCCUUCCAUAGCCCUCCCCAGUCUUGCCUUGAGAGCCCACGGCCCACAGCUCCUCUAGCCUCAGACUGCAGAGAUACAUGUCAAAGGAAAAUAACUUAACCCAGUUCACUUGCCACAACAUUGAAAACAAGAAACAAGUUGAUCUGAUUAAUAUGCACACACAGUAGUCAGAUCCUCACAGUGAUGUUACUUGUUCCAUGAGAGCCCACGGCCCACAGCUCCUCUAGCCUCAGACUGCAGAGAUACAUGUCAAAGGAAAAUAACUUAACCCAGUUCACUUGCCACAACAUUGAAAACAAGAAACAAGUUGAUCUGAUUAAUAUGCACACACAGUAGUCAGAUCCUCACAGUGAUGUUACUUGUUCCAGCCCUCAUUAGCUUGAAGGAUGCUCUUGUUUGAGUCUAAAUCCUGCCAGGACUCAACCCCAAGAUUGGAUUUCCCAGGAGUGCUUGGUCCUUGGUGCGCUGCCAAGGAGCAUUAAAGGGUUCUCUGAUUCCUGAAGGGAUGGAUUCGAUGGAGAUUUAGAACUGAGAGUUCCAAGGGCAAGGACACAAAGGCAAGAGCAUUCUGCCCAUGUGACGGCCUCACCCCCUCCACUGUUUCAUGAGAGAGGGUGCCCAGGUGCUGAUGGAGAAAGGUUUGUCCCUCCCCGUGAUGGGCACAGCUCUGCACCUAGUGUCAAUCCGACCUCAUAGGCAUGUCAGACCGAAAGACCAAGAGGGACAUCUUCUAAGGUUGCAUCAUCUUGGGCAGAUUUUAAAUCAAGAAUUCCAUAUCUGAUUCUAUAACAGUGCCUGAAGUCUGACUCACCAAGCUGGCCACUAUUUUGGAUUUGCCUCCUUAUAUCAGAAGAUUUCCGAUCAAGACAGAUAUUUCACAUUUUCUAUAUCUAGGGCCUUCACGGUAACCUUAAAAGGUUAUAUAAAGCACUCAACAAGGGGCAUUAGGAUGUCCCUGGAGGCAGGAGCUAAAUGUGGGCCAUUUACCUCAGGACCCAGAUCCUUCAGCUCCUGAAUAUGGCUCUCUAGGUGUGGGUCUAAGUAUCCUGGCCAUCUGUUUCUUUGGUUGAAGAUAUCCCCAAUGAAGAUAAAGGAAACUUGCCCUACACUCUUGAAUGGUUUGUAUUUGAGUCUAUUGAAAUAAGCUGACUGGAAAGAUGGCUCAAGUUUAAAAGUUCAGACCCCAGCACCCAUAGAAAAGCUAGAUGUGAUACUGCACAUGCCUCUGACUCCAGCACUGAGUCGGGCAGAGAUGGAGGACUGGUGGGGCUUGAUGUCUGCUAUCAAGCAAACAAUGAGGGAUCCAGGUUCAGGCAGAGCACUUAGAGCCUGAAUGCAUAUGGCCUUGGGUUGGGCCUCAAUCUUUCCCCAGACACACUUAACUUGUUCACAGAAUACCACAGUAGAGAUCCUCUGCCUUCUUGUGGAUUGGAAUCCUAUCAGGCGCCCUCAGGAACCACCCAAUGACAAGAUAGUAACUUCAAACCCCACCAAAGUCUUGCAUGGCAAUCGUAAAGAUGUGGAGAUACGGCUCUCUUUAGAGAACCCCAAGCUGUGUGCGCAGGUGCCCUCUCCUCUCUUCUGAGUGCCUCUCUUUCUCCUAACCUUCACACUUAACUCUAUAUUAAAAUAUCUUUAAUAAAAUCUCCAACUUACCUUCAAGAACUGGCUAUGUCUGAUGUUCUUUACAGCACAGAAGCAAUGGAACCCGAUUUCUCAUCGGUCUAGACCCCCAAAACUCUGGGGGGUGCACCACAUGCUGCUGCAAGCACAGAGCUGGGUCACUGUCCCCUCACAAAUGA
Molecule: long non-coding RNA, 2164 nt
Organism: Mus musculus (house mouse)
Lineage: Eukaryota; Metazoa; Chordata; Mammalia; Rodentia; Muridae
Product: predicted gene, 41145
Exons: 4
Source: RefSeq, a predicted model, not a curated record